This 639-nucleotide ribosomal RNA is filed under the name uncultured bacterium. Its description in RNAcentral is "bacterial SSU rRNA". It matches the Rfam family "Bacterial small subunit ribosomal RNA", at positions 56 to 681 of the family's 1533-position model. The record is from RNAcentral.
UGCAGUAGAACGCUGAAGGAGGAGCUUGCUUCUCUGGAUGAGUUGCGAACGGGUGAGUAACGCGUAGGUAACCUGCCUGGUAGCGGGGGAUAACUAUUGGAAACGAUAGCUAAUACCGCAUAAGAGUAGAUGUUGCAUGACAUUUACUUAAAAGGUGCAAUUGCAUCACUACCAGAUGGACCUGCGUUGUAUUAGCUAGUUGGUGGGGUAACGGCUCACCAAGGCGACGAUACAUAGCCGACCUGAGAGGGUGAUCGGCCACACUGGGACUGAGACACGGCCCAGACUCCUACGGGAGGCAGCAGUAGGGAAUCUUCGGCAAUGGACGGAAGUCUGACCGAGCAACGCCGCGUGAGUGAAGAAGGUUUUCGGAUCGUAAAGCUCUGUUGUAAGAGAAGAACGAGUGUGAGAGUGGAAAGUUCACACUGUGACGGUAUCUUACCAGAAAGGGACGGCUAACUACGUGCCAGCAGCCGCGGUAAUACGUAGGUCCCGAGCGUUGUCCGGAUUUAUUGGGCGUAAAGCGAGCGCAGGCGGUUAGAUAAGUCUGAAGUUAAAGGCUGUGGCUUAACCAUAGUACGCUUUGGAAACUGUUUAACUUGAGUGCAAGAGGGGAGAGUGGAAUUCCAUGUGUAGCGG